GACGAACGCUGGCGGUGUGCUUAACACAUGCAAGUGGUGCGACGAACCAGAGCUUGCUCUGGGGCAAAGCCGCGAACGGGUGAGUAACACGUGGGUAAUCUACCCCGAUGACCGGGACAACCCGAGGAAACUCGGGCUAAUACCGGAUGUGGUACGGAGACAUAAGUCUCUUUACUAAAGGUAGCUUCGGCUUCCGCAUUGGGAGGGGCCCGCGGCCCAUUAGCUAGUUGGUGGGGUCAAGGCCUACCAAGGCAACGAUGGGUAGCUGGUCUGAGAGGACGAGUCAGCCACACUGGGACUGAGACACGGCCCAGACUCCUACGGAGGCAGCAGUGGGGAAUCUUUGCGCAAUGCGCGAAAGCGUGACGCAGCAACACCGCGUGAGGG
This 387-nucleotide ribosomal RNA is filed under the name uncultured bacterium. Its description in RNAcentral is "bacterial SSU rRNA". It matches the Rfam family "Bacterial small subunit ribosomal RNA", at positions 28 to 407 of the family's 1533-position model. The record is from RNAcentral.